Molecule: non-coding RNA, 795 nt
Filed under: Pongo abelii (Sumatran orangutan)
Lineage: Eukaryota; Metazoa; Chordata; Mammalia; Primates; Hominidae
Source: RNAcentral
CUCUGCGCGCGCCGGCGGCUGCCGUGGCGGGUGGGCGGCUGCCAUUCUCUUCUCGGCCAGUUCUCGAGCGCCUCCCCGGGCCCCGCCCUGCAGCCUCGGUCUCCCUGGCGCUGCGCGGCCUAGGGGACUGGGCUGCUGGCCUCCGGGUGCGGGGUGGGGGCAGGCUCUGACCUGGGGCGUCCUGGCCGCGUGAGCCGCGGGAUGGGGGCCCGGGCCCCGGAGGAGGCGCCGCUGUUGUGUUCCUUGGUGGAGAGGGCGCUGCCGGCCCUGCGCGGUUUCCAGCCAGGAAGCUUCGGGAAGCCUGGACGUCUGCUCACUGGAAACGACACGUGCGUGGGGUGUUGGCAUUCUUGUUAUUUAACACAGGAAGGAGGUGACUUCGCCUGUGAUGGACUUCCAGUGUGAGCACUGGCCAGAGUGACCAGGCCGACCAGCACCAGCCCUGAUCCAGACGCAGAGGCCAAGAUGUGGGCCCAGCCCUGUGCCAGAAGGCUGGCUGGAAUAAAGGGAUGGGCAGGCUGGCAUGGGGACACCCGCUGCCCCUGCCUGGGUAGUGCUGUGUAUUUCCGCCGGCCAGGGGCCACUGCCAGGACCACCCCUCCAUUUUCAUAUCCCGAUUCUUAAGUUCUGCCAUUGUGGUAUUCUGGUGGAAAAAAAAGAACCGCUUGGCUGUUUUUGAACUGUCUGGAACCUAAGAUCCCGAAUCCCCCCCCCGCCCCCCCGCAGGGGGAAAAUCUAUAUGGAAAACAUUUAUUUUAAAAUACAGGAUGAAGUGAAUUAAAAGAUUUAAAUGCA